Molecule: microRNA precursor, 179 nt
Filed under: Medicago truncatula (barrel medic)
Lineage: Eukaryota; Viridiplantae; Streptophyta; Magnoliopsida; Fabales; Fabaceae
Description: MIR2619 microRNA precursor family
Rfam family: MIR2619 microRNA precursor family
Source: Rfam by way of RNAcentral
AAACUGCACCCUAAGUUUUGCAACUGUAGCAGUUUUAGCCCCCAAGGCCAAUUUUCGGUAAAAAAUAAAAAUAAAAAUAACAUGUGGCACCUCACUUAGGGUGCCAUGUCAGCGUAGACCGAGUCAAAAUUGGCCUUGAGGGCCAAAACUGCCACAGAUGGAAAACUUAGGGGCGGUUU